AAGCGUGUUGUGAAAUGUAGACGCUCAACGUCUGCACUGCAGCGCGAACUGGUUUCCUUGAGUACGCACAAAGUGGGCGGAAUUCGUGGUGUAGCGGUGAAAUGCUUAGAUAUCACGAAGAACUCCGAUUGCGAAGGCAGCUCACUGGAGCGCAACUGACGCUGAAGCUCGAAAGUGCGGGUAUCGAACAGGAUUAGAUACCCUGGUAGUCCGCACGGUAAACGAUGGAUGCCCGCUGUUGGUCUGAAUAGGUCAGCGGCCAAGCGAAAGCAUUAAGCAUCCCACCUGGGGAGUACGCCGGCAACGGUGAAACUCAAAGGAAUUGACGGGGGCCCGCACAAGCGGAGGAACAUGUGGUUUAAUUCGAUGAUACGCGAGGAACCUUACCCGGGCUUGAAUUGCAGAGGAAGGAUUUGGAGACAAUGACGCCCUUCGGGGCCUCUGUGAAGGUGCUGCAUGGUUGUCGUCAGCUCGUGCCGUGAGGUGUCGGCUUAAGUGCCAUAACGAGCGCAACCCCUCUCCUUAGUUGCCAUCAGGUCAUGCUGGGCACUCUGGGGACACUGCCACCGUAAGGUGUGAGGAAGGUGGGGAUGACGUCAAAUCAGCACGGCCCUUACGUCCGGGGCUACACACGUGUUACAAUGGCAGGUACAGAGAGACGGUCCCUUGCAAAAGGGAUCAAAUCCUCAAAGCCUGUCUCAGUUCGGACAGGGGUCUGCAACCCGACCCCACGAAGCUGGAUUCGCUAG
RNAcentral lists this ribosomal RNA (749 nucleotides) under uncultured Bacteroidota bacterium. RNAcentral's name for it is "bacterial SSU rRNA". It matches the Rfam family "Bacterial small subunit ribosomal RNA", at positions 585 to 1338 of the family's 1533-position model. The record is from RNAcentral. Lineage: Bacteria; Pseudomonadati; Bacteroidota.